Molecule: ribosomal RNA, 253 nt
Filed under: uncultured bacterium
Lineage: Bacteria
Description: partial 16S ribosomal RNA
Rfam family: Bacterial small subunit ribosomal RNA
Source: RNAcentral
UACGAAGGGGGCUAGCGUUGUUCGGAAUCACUGGGCGUAAAGGGCGCGUAGGCGGCUUUGUAAGUCGGGGGUGAAAGCCUGUGGCUCAACCACAGAAUUGCCUUCGAUACUGCAUGGCUUGAGACCGGAAGAGGUAAGUGGAACUGCGAGUGUAGAGGUGAAAUUCGUAGAUAUUCGCAAGAACACCUAUAGCGAAGGCAGCUUACUAGGCUGUAACUGACGCUGAGGCACGAAAGUGUGGGGAUCAAACAGG